RNAcentral lists this ribosomal RNA (892 nucleotides) under Bacillus siamensis. RNAcentral describes it as "bacterial SSU rRNA". Lineage: Bacteria; Bacillati; Bacillota; Bacilli; Caryophanales; Bacillaceae. The record is from RNAcentral.
CGGCAGAGUUUKRAAUCAUGGCUCAGGACGAACGCUGGCGGCGUGCCUAAUACAUGCAAGUCGAGCGGACAGAUGGGAGCUUGCUCCCUGAUGUUAGCGGCGGACGGGUGAGUAACACGUGGGUAACCUGCCUGUAAGACUGGGAUAACUCCGGGAAACCGGGGCUAAUACCGGAUGGUUGUYUGAACCGCAUGGUUCAGACAUAAAAGGUGGCUUCGGCUACYACUUACAGAUGGACCCGCGGCGCAUUAGCUAGUUGGUGAGGUAACGGCUCACCAAGGCGACGAUGCGUAGCCGACCUGAGAGGGUGAUCGGCCACACUGGGACUGAGACACGGCCCAGACUCCUACGGGAGGCAGCAGUAGGGAAUCUUCCGCAAUGGACGAAAGUCUGACGGAGCAACGCCGCGUGAGUGAUGAAGGUUUUCGGAUCGUAAAGCUCUGUUGUUAGGGAAGAACAAGUGCCGUUCRAAUAGGGCGGCACCUUGACGGUACCUAACCAGAAAGCCACGGCUAACUACGUGCCAGCAGCCGCGGUAAUACGUAGGUGGCAAGCGUUGUCCGGAAUUAUUGGGCGUAAAGGGCUCGCAGGCGGUUUCUUAAGUCUGAUGUGAAAGCCCCCGGCUCAACCGGGGAGGGUCAUUGGAAACUGGGGAACUUGAGUGCAGAAGAGGAGAGUGGAAUUCCACGUGUAGCGGUGAAAUGCGUAGAGAUGUGGAGGAACACCAGUGGCGAAGGCGACUCUCUGGUCUGUAACUGACGCUGAGGAGCGAAAGCGUGGGGAGCGAACAGGAUUAGAUACCCUGGUAGUCCACGCCGUAAACGAUGAGUGCUAAGUGUUAGGGGGUUUCCGCCCCUUAGUGCUGCAGCUAACGCAUUAAGCACUCCGGCCU